ANCGCGCUUACCAUNCNAGUCGAACGGGUCCUUCGGGAUAGUGGCGGACGGGCUGAAGUAACACGAUGCGGAUUUCUACCCCKUAGGCUUCGGAACAACACAGGGUAAACUUGAUGCUAAUACCGCGAUAAGCCCUUCGGGGGAAAGAUUUAUCGCCUUUGGAGCGGCCCGCGUCUGAUUAGCUUGUUGGUGAGGUAAUGGCUCACCAAGGCUACGAUCAGUAGCUGGUCUGAGAGGAUGGCCAGCCACACUGGGACUGAGACACGGCCCAGACUMAUACGGGAGGCAGCAGUGGGGAAUCUUGCGCAAUGGGCGAAAGCCUGACGCAGCCAUGCCGCGUGGAUGAUGAAGGUCUUAGGAUUGUAAAAUCCUUUCACCGGGGACGAUAAUGACGGUACCCGGAGAAGAAGCCCCGGCUAACUUCGUGCCAGCAGCCGCGGUAAUACGAAGGGGGCUAGCGUUGCUCGGAAUUACUGGGCGUAAAGGGCGCGUAGGCGGACAGUUAAGUUGGGGGUGAAAGCCCGGGGCUCAACCUCGGAAAUGCCUUCAAUACUGGCUGUCUUGAGUACGGGAGAGGUGAGUGGAACUCCGAGUGUAGAGGUGAAAUUCGUAGAUAUUCGGAAGAACACCAGUGGCGAAGGCGACUCACUGGCCCGUUACUGACGCUGAGGCG
This 673-nucleotide ribosomal RNA is filed under the name uncultured bacterium. RNAcentral's name for it is "bacterial SSU rRNA". It matches the Rfam family "Bacterial small subunit ribosomal RNA", at positions 41 to 753 of the family's 1533-position model. The record is from RNAcentral.